This 330-nucleotide long non-coding RNA is filed under the name Callithrix jacchus (white-tufted-ear marmoset). Its description in RNAcentral is "lncRNA (ENSCJAG00000070794.1)". Lineage: Eukaryota; Metazoa; Chordata; Mammalia; Primates; Cebidae. The record is from RNAcentral.
AUGACAGAAAUUCAAGGGAUGUUGGGAAGUGAAAUAUCUACAAGACUCACCAAGGUGCCCACUUUGAUGGCUUGUUGUACUAGUGCCUUUGAUCUCCAUCAUAGAAAAUGCUCUGCUCCAUUUCCAAAGAGAUUGUCAGGUUCUGCAAGUCAGGAAUCCAUUUGUGGCUUAGCUGGGUCCUUUGGAAAGAAUCAAGAUGUCUACCAGAUUGAAAAAAAAAAAGAAAUUCUGCCAUUCGCAACAACAUGGAUGAAACUUGAGGGCAUUAUGCUUAGUGAAAUAAAUCAAGCACAGAAAGAGAAAUACCAUAUGAUCUUACCUAUAUGUUAA